ACGACCCGCGAACCGUUGCAAAAACAACGGCGGGGGCCGGGGCGAGCCGCGGGCCGGUCCCGCUCUCCCUCCAGCACCUGCCACACGAACAAAUCCCCGGCGCCAGACGCGCCAAGGAAUUAAAAACGAAAAUACGGGGAAUGGGCGGCCCGUCGCGUGCCGGGAACGGAUCUCUCGCGGGCUGCCCUCUCUCCUUCGGAAACAAAAACGACUCUCGGCAACGGAUAUCUCGGCUCUCGCAUCGAUGAAGAACGUAGCGAAAUGCGAUACUUGGUGUGAAUUGCAGAAUCCCGUGAACCAUCGAGUCUUUGAACGCAAGUUGCGCCCGAAGCCUUCGGGCCGAGGGCACGUCUGCCUGGGUGUCAUGCAUCGUCGCCCCCCCAUCCUUCCGGCUCCCCCCCGAGGGGGGAAGGGGGUACGGGGCGGGCGGAGACUGGUCUCCCGUGCGCUCCCGCUCGCGGUUGUCCGAAAUACGAGUUGUUGGCGGCCGAGAACGCCACGGCAAGCGGUGGUUGUCAAAGACCUUCGGAGA
RNAcentral lists this unclassified non-coding RNA (532 nucleotides) under Passiflora incarnata. RNAcentral's name for it is "sequence contains 18S rRNA gene, ITS1, 5.8S rRNA gene, ITS2, 28S rRNA gene". The stretch from base 210 to 365 matches the Rfam family "5.8S ribosomal RNA". The record is from RNAcentral. Lineage: Eukaryota; Viridiplantae; Streptophyta; Magnoliopsida; Malpighiales; Passifloraceae.